Molecule: ribosomal RNA, 253 nt
Filed under: uncultured bacterium
Lineage: Bacteria
Description: partial 16S ribosomal RNA
Rfam family: Bacterial small subunit ribosomal RNA
Source: RNAcentral
GACGUAGGGGGCUAGCGUUGUUCGGAAUUACUGGGCGUAAAGCGUACGUAGGCGGCUUUGUAAGUUAGAGGUGAAAGCCCGGGGCUCAACCCCGGAAUUGCCUUUAAGACUGCAUCGCUUGAAUCGCGGAGAGGUGAGUGGAAUUCCGAGUGUAGAGGUGAAAUUCGUAGAUAUUCGCAAGAACACCAGUGGCGAAGGCGGCUCACUGGCCCGGUACUGACGCUGAGGUGCGAAAGCGUGGGGAGCAAACAGG